Molecule: ribosomal RNA, 548 nt
Filed under: uncultured bacterium
Lineage: Bacteria
Description: bacterial SSU rRNA
Rfam family: Bacterial small subunit ribosomal RNA
Source: RNAcentral
GAAACCGGGAUAACCCCGUGAAAACGGGGCUAAUACCAGAUGAUGUCCCGAGAACUGUGGUUCUUGGGAUGAAAGGUGACCUCUUCAUGAAAGUUGCCGAUUAGGGACGGGCUCGCGUGCCAUUAGCUUGUUGGUAGGGUAAUGGCCUACCAAGGCGACGAUGGCUAGCUGGUCUGAGAGGAUGACCAGCCACACUGGAACUGAAACACGGUCCAGACUCCUACGGGAGGCAGCAGUGAGGAAUUUUGCGCAAUGGGGGAAACCCUGACGCAGUGACGCCGCGUGAGUGAAGAAGGCCUUCGGGUCGUAAAGCUCUGUCAAGUGGGAAAAAAUCCUGUCUAUUAAUAGUGGACAGGCCUGAUGGUACCACUGAAGGAAGCACCGGCUAACUCCGUGCCAGCAGCCGCGGUAAUACGGAGGGUGCAAGCGUCGUUCGGAAUUACUGGGCGUAAAGAGCGUGUAGGCGGUUUGGUAAGUCAGAUGUGAAAGCCCUGGGCUCANCCCAGGAAGUGCAUUUGAAACUGCCAUACUUGAGUAUGGGAAGGGGA